Molecule: non-coding RNA, 695 nt
Organism: Sarcophilus harrisii (Tasmanian devil)
Lineage: Eukaryota; Metazoa; Chordata; Mammalia; Dasyuromorphia; Dasyuridae
Source: the annotation of a RefSeq genome assembly
UGUUGCCAUUUGUGGGAGCCAAUGAAGACAAUAGUUCCAUAAAUGGAGAUAGUUUAGCUAAGCAAGGAAGUAGAGUCCUUCCAUAUCACCUCGCCAGAACACAGAGAUAGGAAGGCAGGAACCCAAUCCAUUCUAUUGCUCCUGACCCUGUCAUGGCCAACACACUGUUUUGCUGUGUCUCCCUUUUCCUCCUUGGAGCAGCUCCAACUGAAGCAGGAGUCACCCAGACACCCAGAUAUCUGGUCACAAAGAUGAAACAGAAGGUAACACUGAGAUGUGAACAAAAUUUGGGUCACAAUGCCAUGUAUUGGUACCAACAGGAGCCACAGAAAGGACCCAAGAUAAUGUUUUCUUAUAAUUAUGAAGAUAUGAAUGUAAAUGAGACUGUUCCUCCCAGAUUCAAGCCUACAAAAGCCAAUAAUCACUUGAGCCUCAGCAUCCACCCUGUGGAAGCAGAAGACUCAGCCACCUACCUCUGUAGCAGCAGCAGAGACACAGCCUUGCAGAGUCAUCUCCAAGCUGUGCAGAAACCUCCUGUCCCUGGCAUAGGAAGAAAGAAGGGAGAAAAGUCACCACAUCAGAGACCUGGCUCACACUGGGGAACUUUUGGAGGGAGGAGGAACUCUCAAACCCCAAGAAUGUUUGAUAGUAGCUCUCAUUUUUCAUAUUGGUCUAAUACACAGUUGUCUGUUUAA